RNAcentral lists this ribosomal RNA (807 nucleotides) under uncultured bacterium. Its description in RNAcentral is "bacterial SSU rRNA". It matches the Rfam family "Bacterial small subunit ribosomal RNA", at positions 28 to 829 of the family's 1533-position model. The record is from RNAcentral.
AUUGAACGCUGGCGGCAGGCUUAACACAUGCAAGUCGAGCGGGGGAGGUUGCUUCGGUAACUGACCUAGCGGCGGACGGGUGAGUAAUGCUUAGGAAUCUGCCUAUUAGUGGGGGACAACAUCUCGAAAGGGAUGCUAAUACCGCAUACGUCCUACGGGAGAAAGCAGGGGACCUUCGGGCCUUGCGCUAAUAGAUGAGCCUAAGUCGGAUUAGCUAGUUGGUGGGGUAAAGGCCUACCAAGGCGACGAUCUGUAGCGGGUCUGAGAGGAUGAUCCGCCACACUGGGACUGAGACACGGCCCAGACUCCUACGGGAGGCAGCAGUGGGGAAUAUUGGACAAUGGGGGGAACCCUGAUCCAGCCAUGCCGCGUGUGUGAAGAAGGCCUUUUGGUUGUAAAGCACUUUAAGCGAGGAGGAGGCUACUGGUAUUAAUACUACCGGAUAGUGGACGUUACUCGCAGAAUAAGCACCGGCUAACUCUGUGCCAGCAGCCGCGGUAAUACAGAGGGUGCGAGCGUUAAUCGGAUUUACUGGGCGUAAAGCGUGCGUAGGCGGCUUUUUAAGUCGGAUGUGAAAUCCCUGAGCUUAACUUAGGAAUUGCAUUCGAUACUGGGAGGCUAGAGUAUGGGAGAGGAUGGUAGAAUUCCAGGUGUAGCGGUGAAAUGCGUAGAGAUCUGGAGGAAUACCGAUGGCGAAGGCAGCCAUCUGGCCUAAUACUGACGCUGAGGUACGAAAGCAUGGGGAGCAAACAGGAUUAGAUACCCUGGUAGUCCACGCCCUAAACGAUGUCUACUAGUUGUUGGGGU